RNAcentral lists this ribosomal RNA (861 nucleotides) under Lentilactobacillus buchneri. Its description in RNAcentral is "bacterial SSU rRNA". It matches the Rfam family "Bacterial small subunit ribosomal RNA", at positions 57 to 885 of the family's 1533-position model. Lineage: Bacteria; Bacillati; Bacillota; Bacilli; Lactobacillales; Lactobacillaceae. The record is from RNAcentral.
GCAGUCGACGCGUCUCCGUUGAUGAUUUUAGGUGCUUGCACUUGAAGAUUUAACAUUGAGACGAGUGGCGAACUGGUGAGUAACACGUGGGUAACCUGCCCUUGAAGUAGGGGAUAACACUUGGAAACAGGUGCUAAUACCGUAUAACAACCAAAACCACCUGGUUUUGGUUUAAAAGACGGCUUCGGCUGUCACUUUAGGAUGGACCCGCGGCGUAUUAGCUUGUUGGUAAGGUAACGGCCUACCAAGGCGAUGAUACGUAGCCGACCUGAGAGGGUAAUCGGCCACAUUGGGACUGAGACACGGCCCAAACUCCUACGGGAGGCAGCAGUAGGGAAUCUUCCACAAUGGACGAAAGUCUGAUGGAGCAACGCCGCGUGAGUGAUGAAGGGUUUCGGCUCGUAAAACUCUGUUGUUGGAGAAGAACAGGUGUCAGAGUAACUGUUGACAUCUUGACGGUAUCCAACCAGAAAGCCACGGCUAACUACGUGCCAGCAGCCGCGGUAAUACGUAGGUGGCAAGCGUUGUCCGGAUUUAUUGGGCGUAAAGCGAGCGCAGGCGGUUUUUUAGGUCUGAUGUGAAAGCCUUCGGCUUAACCGGAGAAGUGCAUCGGAAACCGGGAGACUUGAGUGCAGAAGAGGACAGUGGAACUCCAUGUGUAGCGGUGAAAUGCGUAGAUAUAUGGAAGAACACCAGUGGCGAAGGCGGCUGUCUGGUCUGUAACUGACGCUGAGGCUCGAAAGCAUGGGUAGCGAACAGGAUUAGAUACCCUGGUAGUCCAUGCCGUAACGAUGAGUGCUAAGUGUGGAGGGUUUCCGCCCUCAGUGCUGCAGCUACGCAUAGCACUCGCUGGGAGUACGA